CUCUCAGUAUUAUUGUGUGCUCACUGUGUUUUCUUUAAUUAUAUGGAGUGGGAUUUUGUUCAAUUUCACAGUUGCACAAACAUGCAGCAAUUAUUCCUGAUAAGUGAUAACGAAUCACUGAACAUUAAAUAAGUGUGUUCUUGUGUGCGGGCAAGCAGGCACGCAUGUUUGUGCCUCUGCACCACGGACUUGAGCUCCAUGUCACAAACUGCUCAUGGACAUAGAAUUCCAAUUAGCGUUAAAUAUAACAAGAGCAACUGUUCUGCAUGGGUGUGUCACUGUGCAUCCAUAAUCCCAUCCAUAAUCCCAUCCAUAAUCAUAUUCACUGAUCACUUGUUUGUUUUGGCAGCACUGUGGCCUUGAGUCAUUUGUUUGUGUGUUUGGAUUGCAGUGCAAACAGUGUAGUAGGAGUUUUCAUUGAACAUGUUAAUCCUGCAAAUGGGAACUGGACAGAAACUGGAGAAGCUCCACCAGGAAAGGCUCUCCCCCAGAGGUGUGCUCAAGGCAUCCAGCAGUGGAGUACGCAUCGUGCAAACGCAGGGCCACCUGAGUGGAAGUGUCCACAUUCAGGAGUGCAGUGGAUGGAAUGAGGGAGCAGACUCAUGGAUCUGUUGAAGACAGUAGCGUUUCUAUAGAAAAGAGCUGUGCAUGCACAGUAGCAAAAGCAAAGAGGCCUGAUUGGGAGUACUCCAUUGAUGCAACACACAGUGGCACAACAUAUUCUACUGAGGUUUGCACAGAAGCUCAGACAAGACCCCUGCAAAGACCCAGAUGUACAUCUAAACAGGGAUUUGCAUGACAGGUGGGAGAGGUCUUUGUUGUCAGCAUCAGCAGCCACAAGAGGAGCAUUAACUGUGAAGCUGCAGGUUCACCUGCAAGAGGGCGGGGAAUCGGCAAAUUGAGGUCAAAGCUACGCUCAAUGAGAAGACAGCAGAGGAGAAGACCUAGUUUUCGGUUAGCAGAGCAGAGAGCCGAGGGAGGAGGAGCAUCACUGCGAAAACCUUUGCCAGCAUUUGUCCAUCCAGCAGCCAGCAGUCAUGGCAGCUGGAUGGAGGUUCAGCUGAAGAGCUUGUCCUUGAAGUUACUUCACCCUUAAGAAGGCAAUUCUUGAAAUGGACAGACUGCAUCACUCCAAUGUGAGGGGCCUUUAACAUCUUAAUGAUUUUUUUUUUUCAAUCGUAUACACUACCUAUUUAAAGUAAAUAGUUCAACAAUUCUGUAAUACCAGACUAUAAAGGUGGAAUAUAAAUGUUUAUAAUGUUUGAUGUGUUUCUUUCCUUUCCUAGUCAGAAUGUCCUGAAUGACAUUUUUCGUGUUGUUAAGUUGAACAAAUUAUUGGCUUAAAGUAAUAAUAAUCUAUAUUUCAUGGUUAAGUUUCUUUACACUGUUUUCUAUAAAAGUGUAGCACUUUUGUUUGGAGUCACAAAAAGCAUCUUCUCCUAGAGCAAUAGACCCACAAGCCAAACUCCAAAAUCUUAAUGAGUGUACCCAGAUAGACAAGAAAUUGCAUCCAAAUAAAAGAAUAAUAAAGGCAUCUAAACCGUAACAAGUCUGCCUUUGUUCUUCCACUCCACCCACCACAAGCAGGCAUUGUUGCAGCUUUGAGGGCAGCUCUGAGAGUUCCAUGCCCAUCGGCCUUCAAUCAC
Molecule: long non-coding RNA, 1646 nt
Organism: Astatotilapia calliptera (eastern happy)
Lineage: Eukaryota; Metazoa; Chordata; Actinopteri; Cichliformes; Cichlidae
Source: Ensembl